RNAcentral lists this ribosomal RNA (2660 nucleotides) under Escherichia coli. Its description in RNAcentral is "partial 23S ribosomal RNA". It matches the Rfam family "Bacterial large subunit ribosomal RNA". Lineage: Bacteria; Pseudomonadati; Pseudomonadota; Gammaproteobacteria; Enterobacterales; Enterobacteriaceae. The record is from RNAcentral.
GUUAAGCGACUAAGCGUACACGGUGGAUGCCCUGGCAGUCAGAGGCGAUGAAGGACGUGCUAAUCUGCGAUAAGCGUCGGUAAGGUGAUAUGAACCGUUAUAACCGGCGAUUUCCGAAUGGGGAAACCCAGUGUGAUUCGUCACACUAUCAUUAACUGAAUCCAUAGGUUAAUGAGGCGAACCGGGGGAACUGAAACAUCUAAGUACCCCGAGGAAAAGAAAUCAACCGAGAUUCCCCCAGUAGCGGCGAGCGAACGGGGAGCAGCCCAGAGCCUGAAUCAGUGUGUGUGUUAGUGGAAGCGUCUGGAAAGGCGCGCGAUACAGGGUGACAGCCCCGUACACAAAAAUGCACAUGCUGUGAGCUCGAUGAGUAGGGCGGGACACGUGGUAUCCUGUCUGAAUAUGGGGGGACCAUCCUCCAAGGCUAAAUACUCCUGACUGACCGAUAGUGAACCAGUACCGUGAGGGAAAGGCGAAAAGAACCCCGGCGAGGGGAGUGAAAAAGAACCUGAAACCGUGUACGUACAAGCAGUGGGAGCACGCUUAGGCGUGUGACUGCGUACCUUUUGUAUAAUGGGUCAGCGACUUAUAUUCUGUAGCAAGGUUAACCGAAUAGGGGAGCCGAAGGGAAACCGAGUCUUAACUGGGCGUUAAGUUGCAGGGUAUAGACCCGAAACCCGGUGAUCUAGCCAUGGGCAGGUUGAAGGUUGGGUAACACUAACUGGAGGACCGAACCGACUAAUGUUGAAAAAUUAGCGGAUGACUUGUGGCUGGGGGUGAAAGGCCAAUCAAACCGGGAGAUAGCUGGUUCUCCCCGAAAGCUAUUUAGGUAGCGCCUCGUGAAUUCAUCUCCGGGGGUAGAGCACUGUUUCGGCAAGGGGGUCAUCCCGACUUACCAACCCGAUGCAAACUGCGAAUACCGGAGAAUGUUAUCACGGGAGACACACGGCGGGUGCUAACGUCCGUCGUGAAGAGGGAAACAACCCAGACCGCCAGCUAAGGUCCCAAAGUCAUGGUUAAGUGGGAAACGAUGUGGGAAGGCCCAGACAGCCAGGAUGUUGGCUUAGAAGCAGCCAUCAUUUAAAGAAAGCGUAAUAGCUCACUGGUCGAGUCGGCCUGCGCGGAAGAUGUAACGGGGCUAAACCAUGCACCGAAGCUGCGGCAGCGACGCUGAUGCGUUGUUGGGUAGGGGAGCGUUCUGUAAGCCUGUGAAGGUGUGCUGUGAGGCAUGCUGGAGGUAUCAGAAGUGCGAAUGCUGACAUAAGUAACGAUAAAGCGGGUGAAAAGCCCGCUCGCCGGAAGACCAAGGGUUCCUGUCCAACGUUAAUCGGGGCAGGGUGAGUCGACCCCUAAGGCGAGGCCGAAAGGCGUAGUCGAUGGGAAACAGGUUAAUAUUCCUGUACUUGGUGUUACUGCGAAGGGGGGACGGAGAAGGCUAUGUUGGCCGGGCGACGGUUGUCCCGGUUUAAGCGUGUAGGCUGGUUUUCCAGGCAAAUCCGGAAAAUCAAGGCUGAGGCGUGAUGACGAGGCACUACGGUGCUGAAGCAACAAAUGCCCUGCUUCCAGGAAAAGCCUCUAAGCAUCAGGUAACAUCAAAUCGUACCCCAAACCGACACAGGUGGUCAGGUAGAGAAUACCAAGGCGCUUGAGAGAACUCGGGUGAAGGAACUAGGCAAAAUGGUGCCGUAACUUCGGGAGAAGGCACGCUGAUAUGUAGGUGAAGUCCCUCGCGGAUGGAGCUGAAAUCAGUCGAAGAUACCAGCUGGCUGCAACUGUUUAUUAAAAACACAGCACUGUGCAAACACGAAAGUGGACGUAUACGGUGUGACGCCUGCCCGGUGCCGGAAGGUUAAUUGAUGGGGUCAGCGCAAGCGAAGCUCUUGAUCGAAGCCCCGGUAAACGGCGGCCGUAACUAUAACGGUCCUAAGGUAGCGAAAUUCCUUGUCGGGUAAGUUCCGACCUGCACGAAUGGCGUAAUGAUGGCCAGGCUGUCUCCACCCGAGACUCAGUGAAAUUGAACUCGCUGUGAAGAUGCAGUGUACCCGCGGCAAGACGGAAAGACCCCGUGAACCUUUACUAUAGCUUGACACUGAACAUUGAGCCUUGAUGUGUAGGAUAGGUGGGAGGCUUUGAAGUGUGGACGCCAGUCUGCAUGGAGCCGGCCUUGAAAUACCACCCUUUAAUGUUUGAUGUUCUAACGUUGACCCGUGAUCCGGGUUGCGGACAGUGUCUGGUGGGUAGUUUGACUGGGGCGGUCUCCUCCUAAAGAGUAACGGAGGAGCACGAAGGUUGGCUAAUCCUGGUCGGACAUCAGGAGGUUAGUGCAAUGGCAUAAGCCAGCUUGACUGCGAGCGUGACGGCGCGAGCAGGUGCGAAAGCAGGUCAUAGUGAUCCGGUGGUUCUGAAUGGAAGGGCCAUCGCUCAACGGAUAAAAGGUACUCCGGGGAUAACAGGCUGAUACCGCCCAAGAGUUCAUAUCGACGGCGGUGUUUGGCACCUCGAUGUCGGCUCAUCACAUCCUGGGGCUGAAGUAGGUCCCAAGGGUAUGGCUGUUCGCCAUUUAAAGUGGUACGCGAGCUGGGUUUAGAACGUCGUGAGACAGUUCGGUCCCUAUCUGCCGUGGGCGCUGGAGAACUGAGGGGGGCUGCUCCUAGUACGAG